Molecule: long non-coding RNA, 5576 nt
Organism: Phragmites australis (common reed)
Lineage: Eukaryota; Viridiplantae; Streptophyta; Magnoliopsida; Poales; Poaceae
Exons: 9
Source: RefSeq, a predicted model, not a curated record
UCGUUGCUGUUUGCCGGUGCCUCUCAUAGGCCCGUGAACCCACUCGCUCCAGUCCCCACUCGCUGCGAGGUGAGAGCGAACAAACCCUAGUCGUCGCCGCUCGUCCCCAAGCCCGUCGCCGCCGCUCGUCCUCAGCGACGUCGCCGCCGUCCCCAAGGCCGUCGCCACCGCUCGUCCUCAGCGACGUCGCCGCCGUCCCCAAGGCCGUCGCGAUCGGCUUCCCGAUGCAGCGCCGCCGGCUUCUCGACACCAACGCCGCGGAGGAUGAUUAUUGCCACCUAAAUGGACUGAAGAAAGCAUCACCACUCCAAGCUCGGCUCACACCUUCCCAUUCCCACGCUCUCUUUGCUGCUCCACAGUUGCUGCUAGCAUUAACUCGCCACUUGUUGCUGACAACGUCUAGGUAUUGAGUUGUUUGUGAUGGAUGAAGGCCACAAUCAACGGGGUGGGCAUGACCAAAGUUCUUUCUACCCUAGAUUCUACAUGCGGCGGUUCAAUACUUAUGGUAUGGACCCUAGUACCCUACAGUGGAGGGUUACACAGCAGUCUUCGCCUUUUCCUGUCAUGCAUGGAGUUGCACUACUCAACGUGAUACCUGCACAAGACUUUUAUGGGCCCCACGGUCAGUAUGUUCCAGAUUUGGCUUUUGCUGGCAUGCAUCGAGUCGUACCGCCCAACAUGGUACCUGCACCAAACAUCUAUGGGGCUCAUGGUCAAUAUCCACUAGAUCGAUCCAUGCUACCAUAUGCAUAUGUUUCUUAGGGGGAGCAACAACCUUAUCCUUGAUACCCGUCCCAUCUGCAUUCGUCACCGUAUCAAAAUGUAUUAGGUAGAGGCAAUUCUAAUGUUGAAGUUUCAGUUUGUCAGUCGAUGUUACAAAACAGGGGAUCUCUGUUUCCACUGUAAGGUCUCAACCAAUUGAUCACUCAAGGCUAAGCUACAAUAUGUCUGUUUCUGUAGCGCAAUCAUCUGUAUCCACUUCAUUUGCUAAGGUGCUGUAGGAUCUCAGAGACAGGGCCUCAGUUCCAACAAGUGAGGUUUCAUCCAUAACAGCCUAUCUCCAAUAUAUGCACCUUAAGUAGAAGUUCAGAGCCUCAUUUUCUACAAAUUAGGUCUCUGAAAUUGAUUAUUUAAGUGAACCAUCUUUAGUGCUUCUAUCAUGUGUUAAUGCCCCCUGAGUGGAAGCCAAAGCUAAACGUAUCUCAAUUUCUUAGAGUCUCGUCAUUAAAACAGUUUCAUCAAUUGCCAAGCUAAGGUCCAGUGCAGUUGAUGCAAUUUGACUGAUAUGACAGAUCAGAUCUCUGUAACUGAUUCACCACCACCUUUUGUGCUUGAUUUAACUUUUAUUGAAGCCCUAAGCUUGAGUGCCUCAAUUUCUUUGAGUCCGGUCAGUCGAACUGGUCAAUCAAUUGUCAAGUCAAUAUCCAAUUGCUUAUAUGUUGCUGCAGUUGAAGAAACAUUAACUAGUAUGCAUGAUAGGAAUUUGGAGGAUUUUGUAAUCAGGAAUUGUCCACUUGUAAGAUGGCACAAACUUUUCAUUUUAUAUUUAACACUAAUCUUGAUAAGCAAAUGCAGAAAGAUUCUUUGUAAUGCAUAUAUAGACAUGUGAUUGACAUGUUCAGAAAUGAAAAUAGUUACGGUGAUAUGUUUGAAGAGAAGCACUUGAUGGUCACAAACAACAAUUAAUUCUAUAUUACACUUGAGGCGGAUUAAGACUACCAUAUAAAAAACUUAUUGGCUGAUCUUAAAAAACUAGUAAAUAUAAUAGCAUCUUACUUCAGCGGUAAGUACAUCUUGGCUCGUCAAAUGAACGUUAUCUAUGUGCAUCACCUGUUUUAGAUUUGCAGGACUCCUUCGCAAAUGAUAAAAGUAUCAGGUCAUACAUUAAAGAAAUUUUUGGAUUUUAUAUACUAUCAUUUGAGUUUUGGACAUCAAGUUAACCGAUCGGAUCUUUUAAAGGCGGGUGUAAGUUUGAUAAGAUGUUGUAGCACUCAUGACGCUAAGUAUGUUGACAUGUGUCUCGAGGGUGCACUUGAUAAAACUUUAUGGCCAGGUGAUUAAAUGAUUGAACUAUAUGGUGUCCUUAUUCUUAAUAACGUUUUUUGGUUUGGAGUCACGGAAGAAGAUAAACGACUUGGUUUCGAUCUCGCCUCCGCAAUAAUGUUAGGAAUCUGUCUUCAAUAACCAAACAGAUCUCUAGCAUUAUUGCAGAGGCGAGGUCGAGAACCAAAUCGUCUGUCUUCUUCUGUGAAACCAAACCAAAUAACGUCAUCAAGAAUAUGGAUAUCAUUUAGUUCAGUCUUCCAAUCACCUGGCCAGAAAGUUUUAUCAAGUGCACCCUCGAGACACAUCUCAACAUACUUAGCGUCACGGGUGCCACAACGUCUUAUCAGACUUCCACCCGCUUUUAAAUGAUAGCAUAUAAAAUCCAAGAAUUUUUUCAAUGCAUGACCUGAUGUUCUUAUCACUUGUGGAGGGGGCUUUCAAAUCUCAAACAAGUGAUGCAUAUAGAUAGCGUUCAUUUGACGAGUCAAGAUAUACUUACCUCUAAAAUAAGAUGUUAUCAAAUUUGUUAGUCUUUUAAGAUCAGUCAACAGGUUUUCUAAGGUAGGGUCUUGAUCCGUCUCAAGUUUAAUAUAGAAUUGAUUGUUGUUUGUGACUAUCAGGUGCUCCUCUUCAAACAUACCACCCCAACUAUGUCCAAUUCUGAACAUGUCAAUCACAUGCCUAUGUGCAUUGCAAAGAAACCUUUUGCAUUUGCUCGUCAAUACCAGUGAUAAAUAUAAAAUGAAGAGUUUGUGCCAUCUUACAAGUAUAUCAUUCUUGAUUAUAAAAUCCUUCAAGUUCAUAUCAGACACACUAGUUAAUGCUUCUUCAACUGCAGCAAUAUCUGAGCAAUUGGGCAUUAACUUCACCAGUUUCACUGACCGGACUCAAAGAAACUAAGGCACUCGAGCUUGGAGCUUCCACAAAAGGUGGUGAUGAAUCGGUUACAGAGAUCUAAUUUGUCAUAUUAGCCAAACUAGUUGAUGAUGCAUGCAUUGAACCUUAGCUUGGCAAUUGAUGGAACUAUUUCAGUAACCACUCUUAGAAAUUGUUGUAUGUUUGGCUUUGGCUUCCACACGGGUGAUAUUAACACAUGAUAUGAGCAAUAAAGGUGGUCCACUUGAAGAAUCAAUUUCAGACCUGAUUUGUAGGAACUGAGGCUUUGAACUCCUACUUAAGAUGCAUAGAAUGGAGAUAAGUUGUUAUGGAUGAGACCUCACUUGUUGGAACUGAGACACUGUGUCCCUGAGUUCCUACAGCACCUCACUUGUUGAAGCAACUACAGUGGAUGUAGAUGAUCUCGAGUGACGAAUUGGUUGAGACCCUACAGUGGACAUAGAGCGCUGUAUCAUAAAAUCUGAUGCUGUUUUGUAAUAUCGACUGACAAAUUGAAACUUCAACAUUAGAAUUGUCUCUAUCUAAUACAUCUUGUAGCCCUAACUCUGCAGGACACUUCUGCUCAAUUGAGCAAACUGUUUUAUGAAGAAGCAUCGCCCUGCUUUGUUUAGCUAUACUCUCUUAUGAAUCCUCGUCCACAUGUGAGAAUAUUGUCCAUUAAGAAGAACAAUAUUGUUUGUUGUGUAUUCGACCAAGAGGACAACAUCCCUAAGGUUGAGGUUCUUGUUCACAAUGAUACCUCCUCCGGUGCUAGCGAUCAGCAAGGCCCUCACCUUGCAACCAGUACUGUUGCAGAAGAGGCUUGGGCCAAGGGGAAGGCGCCGCCCGAUCAGGAGGCCAAAGGGUCUCCUUGAUCCAGGAAAUCGUCUUCACCAUCUGAUCAGCCACCCCAAGCGCACACGAAGAAAAAGACGACUGGUAUUGAACUCGAGUUGUCAGGUGACUUCUCUGCCGGAGAUAGCUGGAACUCCCCCUCGAUCGCCGCCUUGAGUAACUGACACGCCUGAUGACUCGGUAAGGAAGGCAAUGGCUGCCUUCGCCUCAUCUGAUCCUUCAACCACUGUCCCAUCGCCCACGGCGCCUGCGUCUCCAGUUGUCUUUGAUGCUGCUGCUCCCUCGACAACUGCUUCCACUCGAGGCACCAUGAAAAAGAUCUUAAGGAAAGGAUUGAAAUCCAACGUGUGGUUCAUGCAGAAGCAUGCUUCCUUGUAGGUAGAAAACAUCUUACAACUUGAGCGAUAUUCUUUUCUUGAUGUUAGUUAUAACCGGUUGAAGAAUGGAGUUCUCAAGUAAGCAGCUUCAGGUCGAGCCACCGAAGGCAUCAGCAGCACGGGCUAACUUGGCACUGGUAGCCCAUCGCCGUCCGUGACUCCUGCUGAUGCUGACCCGAGCAUGCCAUGGACAAUGGUGAAGGACCAUAUCAAGGCCUUGUAUCAAGCUGUGCCCCUUCUUUAGAAAAACAUCACGGAUGGGGAGGCUUAUCGACAAGAGAUAGCAGCGCUCAAGGUCGAUGCGGAGAGGUGGGUACAUGCAAUGGCGGAGACAACGAGCAAGGAGCUCCAGAAGAAUCACAACGCCAUCAAGAAAUUGGAGAAACUGGAGAAAGUCAAGGACAGCUAGGUGGCCUCAGAAGCUUGAGCACAAGCCGCUAAAGCUGAGAGGGACACUGCCAUUGAACGUUCCAAUGAAGCAGUGGCCAUCAGCGCCUGAACGGUAUGAUCAGGUUCAUCGAGAAGGAGUAUCUGAAAUUGAAUGAUAGCCACACCACAAAGUUUCAAUGAGUGGCCACCAUAUCCAAGAGGAUUAUUGAUUCCGAAAUGGGAUGAAGUGCUGCACUGUGAACUCUGCUGACCUCUUGCCCGCCGCCCAUGUUUCCCUUAUUUAUUUCCUGAGAUUUGGAACUACAAGGAGAACAAGCUAAACAAUGUUGUCUGCACAGCCCCCAUGCUGGACGUAUACCACGGCGAUGUUGUCUACAUGAUGUCCCAGCUGGACGCUCGCGACCCAAACGGUUGGGUGCUUGCUGUUGACAUUGGAAACAAGAAACUGGAGAAAGCUAUGCCUUUUUCUGCUGAAAGGUUGUAUAUCGAUCACGACUACAUGCACUGUGACUUCUCCAAGUACCUCGGCAAGGCUCCAGGAGCAUGCACGGCCAAGAGCUUCAGUUCUCCAAAUAAGUCGAGUAUUUCUGGAAGUUCUUGCAAGAAGGCAGCUACUUUUUAUAUGCAGUUUGGUUCUUUUGAUGCCAAUGGUGAAAAGGGGGAGACGAACCUACCUGCUGCUGUCAUUAUGCCGAGCCAUCUAAUGUUUGUUGGAGCUAAUUUGCACAAGAAUUAAGAAAACAAUCAGGCCAAGAAACCAAUGGAAUAUCUUCGGGCUCUAUGCAUGUAUUGGUCAAGUCGAACUAAAAUGAUUAGCAAGUUGUAUUUGCAUGGCCGCGGCAUAAUAUUAUUUGCUAGACAUGAUUUGUAGCUCAAAGUUGAGUCUGUUUAUGUUCCUGCGCGCACAAGGAGAGGCCCAGAUCGGCAUGGUAUUGGUCUGGUCCGUUCCUGAGUCAGGUUCGAAUUGGAGUUGAGUCAGGUGGCCUGCGUGAGCUUUUGCCCUUGGUCGUGUCCACAGAAAGUUUCUAGACC